Molecule: ribosomal RNA, 407 nt
Filed under: uncultured bacterium
Lineage: Bacteria
Description: partial 16S ribosomal RNA
Rfam family: Bacterial small subunit ribosomal RNA
Source: RNAcentral
AUUGAACGCUGGCGGCAGGCCUAACACAUGCAUGUCGAGCGGAUCGGUGGCAGGGUGAGUAAUACCUAGGAAUCUGCCUGGUACUGGGGGAAAACGGUCGCAAAUGGGCGCUAAUACUGAAUACUAUCAUAUGCGCCUAGGUCGGAUUAGCAAGUACGUGGGGUAAAGGCCUCCCAAGGCGACGAUCCGUAACUGGUCUGAGAGGAUGAUCAGUCACACUGGAACUGAGACACGGUCCAGACUCCUACGGGAGGCAGCAGUGGGGAAUAUUGGACAAUGGGCGAAAGCCUGAUCCAGCCAUGCCGCGUGUGUGAAGAAGGUCUUCGGAUUGUAAAGCACUUUAAGUUGGGAGGCGUUACCAACAGAAUAAGCACCGGCUAACUUCGUGCCAGCAGCCGCGGUAAUAC